Molecule: ribosomal RNA, 433 nt
Filed under: uncultured bacterium
Lineage: Bacteria
Description: partial 16S ribosomal RNA
Rfam family: Bacterial small subunit ribosomal RNA
Source: RNAcentral
AACGAACGCUGGCGGCAUGCCUAACACAUGCAAGUCGAACGAGCCCUUCGGGUCUAGUGGCGCACGGGUGCGUAACGCGUGGGAACCUGCCCUUAGGUUCGGAAUAACUCCCCGAAAGGGGUGCUAAUACCGGAUAAUGUCUUCGGACCAAAGAUUUAUCGCCUUUGGAUGGGCCCGCGUUGGAUUAGCUAGUUGGUAGGGUAAAAGCCUACCAAGGCGACGAUCCAUAGCUGGUCUGAGAGGAUGAUCAGCCACACUGGGACUGAGACACGGCCCAGACUCCUACGGGAGGCAGCAGUGGGGAAUAUUGGACAAUGGGCGAAAGCCUGAUCCAGCAAUGCCGCGUGAGUGAUGAAGGCAUUAGGGUUGUAAAGCUCUUUUAACCGGGAUGAUAAUGACAGUACCGGGAGAAUAAGCUCCGGCUAACUCCGUG